This 1222-nucleotide long non-coding RNA is filed under the name Anser cygnoides (Swan goose). RNAcentral's name for it is "lncRNA (ENSACDG00005003914.1)". The record is from RNAcentral. Lineage: Eukaryota; Metazoa; Chordata; Aves; Anseriformes; Anatidae.
AUGCCCUUCCUUUUUUAUGUAAUGUUUUAUAACUCUUUCAGGGUGGGAGAAUGCUCGGGGUUUUGCGGUAUUGCAUUCACCUUCAUUCUUGCCAGGCUGGUGCUUUUGACUAAGGUCCAGCAUAACAGGCAGCCCUACCAUUUAUAUUACAGUGCAGGAAGUUAUCUGCCUUUUCCAGCUAAACAGCACCGAGAGAAAGAGGAAGCAUUUUUCCGAGCAAGCAGGAGGUGCCAUGUAGCACAACGGGGCAUCACCCUAGACUCCCAUGCCUUAGUUCCAAGAUCAGCACAUCAGUUCUGGUUUGUGGCAUCAUAUUUUUCUUAUUUUAAAGCAAGCAGAUAGGAUAUUCCUGGUUGACAGUUGCAGAAGGGGCAAAUACAUGUCUUUUAACACCUUCUACAUCACCCACAGGAAAAAGGCAAGAAAACAACAUACAGCAACCCUUCUGAAACAGCCUGAGGCAACGAGCAGAACAGAAAAAUAUCUUAACUUCAGCUUCUACCAUAAACUGCCUUUGGUUUAUAAAUGAUCCCAUUCUUUACCAGGAAACAUACCAGGGAAGUUUAAAACUUAAAUUCACCUCUCAGUCACUAAAAUUUCAAAGGAGGGGGAGAAAAUUGCAAAGUUAUCUACUGAGACCUUUGGUGAUUAGCAAUGAAAAGUGUUUGAUCUUCACCUGACAGUAGCUGAAAAGAAGCCAUCCUCAGUCCGAACUGCUUAAUGAAGGAAGAAUUGCAGAGCUUUCGCUCCCCUAUGGUUCAAGAUUAGCAGCAGUGAACAGCAAUUUCUGUUUGUUUUUACAAUAAUAUCCUGUUUUGUAAUCCACAGGAAAAGGAGUAUGAAAGUAGCAGCCUUGGCAGCAAGUAGGGGCCAAGGGACUGUUUUCUGAAAUCUCAAAGCUCAGGAACACAAAGGCUUGGAGGAAUUUCCAAGUACAGCGAAUGCCAAAUGGUAAAGAAAAUGUCAUGACAAUGAAAGAGUGGAAUUAUUUAUUCACCUUGUAAAUACAUUCUUCUUCCAAGGUCAUUUUUUUCUUCUUCAGUGAUCAAUUGACAGGCAGUGACUUCUAGCACCCACUAAAUGUUUAAGGCUUGCUAAGUUGUUGUUGUUGUUUUUUUUUGUUGUUGUUUGUUUGUUUGUUUUUUCCACCAAGGAUGAAACAACAGGAUAUAGUUAUAAUAGUAAUAAUAAAAAUAAAAAUGUGAGACUGUAAUUUAUCCCC